Molecule: small RNA, 59 nt
Filed under: uncultured Dinobryon
Lineage: Eukaryota; Chrysophyceae; Chromulinales
Description: partial Mitochondrion-encoded tmRNA
Source: RNAcentral
GUUUCGCACUGUAAGAAUAAUGGGACAAUAAGUAACAUUUUAACCAGUUUAUUUUAGUC